This is a long non-coding RNA of Colias croceus (clouded yellow), 166 nucleotides long. RefSeq lists it as uncharacterized. Lineage: Eukaryota; Metazoa; Arthropoda; Insecta; Lepidoptera; Pieridae. The transcript has 3 exons. The record is from RefSeq and is a predicted model, not a curated record.
AGAUCAUAGAAUCUAAGAUGAGGCUCCGCUGGCUUGCAAUUUUCUCGACCAUUCUAUACGCUGUUCUCGCAAUCACAGUGAACAUUCGAGAAGAAGAUAAGGAUACUCACAGACUGCUCUUCAAACAAUAUAGGAAUACCGCACAAACCUCGCCCGGGAUUACGCG